GAUCAGUAGGGGUUCUGAGAGGAAGGUCCCCCACAUCGGAACUGAGACACGGUCCAAACUCCUACGGGAGGCAGCAGUGAGGAAUAUUGGUCAAUGGGCGAGAGCCUGAACCAGCCAAGUAGCGUGCAGGAAGACGGCCCUAUGGGUUGUAAACUGCUUUUAUAAGGGAAUAAAGUGAGUCUCGUGAGACUUUUUGCAUGUACCUUAUGAAUAAGGACCGGCUAAUUCCGUGCCAGCAGCCGCGGUAAUACGGAAGGUCCGGGCGUUAUCCGGAUUUAUUGGGUUUAAAGGGAGCGUAGGCCGGAGAUUAAGCGUGUUGUGAAAUGUAGACGCUCAACGUCUGCACUGCAGCGCGAACUGGUUUCCUUGAGUACGCACAAAGUGGGCGGAAUUCGUGGUGUAGCGGUGAAAUGCUUAGAUAUCACGAAGAACUCCGAUUGCGAAGGCAGCUCACUGGAGCGCAACUGACGCUGAAGCUCGAAAGUGCGGGUAUCGAACAGGAUUAGAUACCCUGGUAGUCCGCACGGUAAACGAUGGAUGCCCGCUGUUGGUCUGAACAGGUCAGCGGCCAAGCGAAAGCAUUAAGCAUCCCACCUGGGGAGUACGCCGGCAACGGUGAAACUCGAAGGAAUUGACGGGGGCCCGCACAAGCGGAGGAACAUGUGGUUUAAUUCGAUGAUACGCGAGGAACCUUACCCGGGCUUGAAUUGCAGAGGAAGGAUUUGGAGACAAUGACGCCCUUCGGGGUCUCUGUGAAGGUGCUGCAUGGUUGUCGUCAGCUCGUGCCGUGAGGUGUCGGCUUAAGUGCCAUAACGAGCGCAACCCCUCUCCUUAGUUGCCAUCAGGUUAAGCUGGGCACUCUGGGGACACUGCCACCGUAAGGUGUGAGGAAGGUGGGGAUGACGUCAAAUCAGCACGGCCCUUACGUCCGGGGCUACACACGUGUUACAAUGGCAGGUACAGAGAGACGGUUGUACGUAAGUACGGUCAAAUCCUUAAAGCCUGUCUCAGUUCGGACUGGGGUCUGCAACCCGACCCCACGAAGCUGGAUUCGCUAGUAAUCGCGCAUCAGCCAUGGCGCGGUGAACACGUUCCCGGGCCUUGUACACACCGCCCGUCAAGCCAUGAAAGCCGGGGGCGCCUAAAGUCCGUGACCGUAAGGAGCGGCCUAGGGCGAAACUGGUAAUUGGGGCUAAGUCGUAACAAGGUA
Molecule: ribosomal RNA, 1210 nt
Filed under: metagenome
Description: bacterial SSU rRNA
Rfam family: Bacterial small subunit ribosomal RNA
Source: RNAcentral